This 870-nucleotide long non-coding RNA is filed under the name Nicotiana benthamiana. RNAcentral describes it as "long non-coding RNA (NBEN_LNC003480)". The record is from RNAcentral. Lineage: Eukaryota; Viridiplantae; Streptophyta; Magnoliopsida; Solanales; Solanaceae.
UGGUGACAGGAAAAAAUAAGCAGGAAGAGAAAGGGAAGCAAGUUCAAACCCCUGAAUUCAACCUCACCAACUUCCCACCUUUAUCCCUUAUUGUUGUUAGCAAUCAUUUUGAAGCAAUAUCCAAUAGUAGAGUUGAGAUUCCUCCAGGAGAUGGAGGAGGACCUAACAACUGUCAAUGAAGUGGUUAGUCUGGAAUAUUAUUUUGAUGCAAUGUCCAAUAGUAGAGUUGAGAUUCCUCCAGGAUAUGGAGGAGGACCUAGCAAUUGUCAAUGAAGUGGUUAGUCUGGAAUAUUAGGGGUAUAAAUAAAAAGGUAUAAGCAAAAAGAAGUUAGGAAAUAUAUAAGAAGAAAUAACAUCAACCUUGUUGGUUUGGUAGAAACUAAGGUUAAAGAAAAAAAUGCAGGAACAAUUGCUAAGCUGUUGAUUCCUGGCUGGGGUAUCCUCACAAAUUAUCAGGGUUCUAUAAAGGGUAGAGUAUGGAUUUUAUGGGAUACAAAGUUCCGCACAGUCACUGGUAUCUAGGAGGAGGCCCAACUGAUUCACUGUAGAGUUAGAAACAUUUCUGGGGAUGUCACUUGCUAUCUAACUGUGGUAUAUGGCUAUAAUGGGAUGGACAAGAGAAGAUCUCUAUGGAAAAAAUUGCAGGAUUACUCUGUUGCUAUAACUGAGGCUUGGUUAGUUGCUGGAGAUUUCAAUGCUGUCCUAUAUGCCAGUGAUAGACAGUCAAGUAAUCAUGUUAAGCAUUCAGAGAUUCAAGAGUUUACUCAAUGCAUACAACAGGCUGGACUUUCAGAGCUACCUUGGAAAGGGAAUUAUUUCACCUGGACAAAUAGGCAGACAUGCAAUGAUAGAGUAUGUAGCAGACUGGAC